Molecule: small nuclear RNA, 107 nt
Filed under: Carlito syrichta (Philippine tarsier)
Lineage: Eukaryota; Metazoa; Chordata; Mammalia; Primates; Tarsiidae
Source: RNAcentral
GUGCUUAAUUCAGCAGCACAUAUACUAAAAUUGGAACAAUACAGAGAAGAUUAACAUGGCCCCUAAGCAAGGAUGACAUGAACAUUCGCAAAGCAUUUCAUAUUUUU